UUUGUUAAGUGCACUCCAAAAAUUUUCUGGUUUAGGGAGGAGAGAUGAGAAUUGAGCUUCGUGUGGUAGUAUUGUAAUGGUGGCAUCGUGGAGGCCUGUGCUGAGACCCAUGUUCGUGGUUUCCAAUACCAAGAUUAACACACUAGCAGCUUUGAACCCAACUUCACACAGAAGCAGAGAGCACCAGAGCCAAAGCAAAGAAAGCAAGAAUGAGACUCUUGCGAUUGUCUGAGGCAGCAGAAAGCCUUAAACGCCAAGUAACUGUCCGUGUUCAUACUGGGAAUGAGGAUGAUGCGAGGGAGCUACUUUUUCAGAAGAAGAAGGUUAUGCAGACUAUGGAAAGAUCAAAGAGUCGUCUUUGGAUUGCUUGAUAAGCUUUCUGUAAAACUUACUGAGAAUGGUAGCUCUUCCGCUGGGGAUUAUGCUCCAGGUCAAAUGAUUUGGACAGCAAAUAUUCCAGCAUCAUGAGACAAAAUCAACAGCUUUCAGCAUAUCAAUUAGGCCAGCAGUCUUCAAAGACUUAUGGAACGGCAGGGUACCUGAAUUUCUAUCCUUCUCAAAUAGAAAUUACACAGGAACAGAAACUACAGAACUUCAGGGAUUUUAUAUUACAUGGUAAUCAAGAGCCAUCGUCACAAGAAGUACACCAAUUUUGGCAGCGAAGGCGUCAAAACUCAUAAUCCUUCAUCCAAUCAGCUCCUCCAAAUUUUGGCAGCUCAGCUAAUGAUUUUCAGUUCUGGGCUAUACGAUUAAUCACACCAAACUUGGCUGCAUAGUUGCUGAUCUUCGAUUCUUUUCCCUUUUUUCAGUGAGCUUUAAAGCGGCAAAUAAAGUUUGGCAGUGUCAUAAUGCGGGUUAGAUUUAUGGUUGUUUAGAUAAUUGAAUGUGAUUACUUCCUAAAUUCAGUUGUUAGUGUCUUGCGUUUUUCAAUAAGUCGUGCGGUUCUGCUGUGCACGGUAUUCAAUUCUUGCAUAUCACAUCAAAUUCAGAUUGCAUGGUUCCA
Tripterygium wilfordii is the source of this 1003-nucleotide long non-coding RNA. RefSeq lists it as uncharacterized. NCBI's taxonomy places the organism in Eukaryota, Viridiplantae, Streptophyta, Magnoliopsida, Celastrales, Celastraceae. The record is from RefSeq and is a predicted model, not a curated record. The transcript is spliced from 3 exons.